Molecule: ribosomal RNA, 198 nt
Filed under: Clostridioides difficile
Lineage: Bacteria; Bacillati; Bacillota; Clostridia; Peptostreptococcales; Peptostreptococcaceae
Description: partial 23S ribosomal RNA
Rfam family: Bacterial large subunit ribosomal RNA
Source: RNAcentral
GAGAAUGUUGGCAUGAGUAGCGAGAUGUGGGUGAGAAUCCCACAGGCCGUAAACCCAAGGUUUCCAGGGGAAGGGUCGUCCGCCCUGGGUUAGUCGGGACCUAAGCUGAGGCCGACAGGCGUAGGUGAUGGACAACAGGUUGAUAUUCCUGUACUACCGAUAACCGUUUGAGAGAAGGGAUGACACAGUAGGAUCUGC